This 66-nucleotide ribosomal RNA is filed under the name Didelotia unifoliolata. Its description in RNAcentral is "partial 26S ribosomal RNA". It matches the Rfam family "Eukaryotic large subunit ribosomal RNA", at positions 1 to 62 of the family's 3401-position model. Lineage: Eukaryota; Viridiplantae; Streptophyta; Magnoliopsida; Fabales; Fabaceae. The record is from RNAcentral.
GAUGCGACCUCAGCUCAGGCGGGGCUACCCGCUGAGUUUAAGCAUAUCAAUAAGCGGAGGAAAAGA